Molecule: long non-coding RNA, 200 nt
Organism: Triticum dicoccoides
Lineage: Eukaryota; Viridiplantae; Streptophyta; Magnoliopsida; Poales; Poaceae
Exons: 3
Source: RefSeq, a predicted model, not a curated record
GGCGGGUAAGCACCGCUGGUGGCUCUGCUGGGGCCGCCUUGGCGAUGCCUAUGCCAAGACCUUCUACCUCGUGUGAAAGAAAGAGAACUCGAGCCAAGGUGAUGGUGAUGGAAAUGAAUGAAAGAAAGAGAAGCUGGAGUGCCUACCACAAAGAUGAGCAGAAGCAGGGGAGUUCGCUGGGACGGAGGCGCUGGUGGCCG